AGACCCGAAACCCGGUGAUCUAGCCAUGGGCAGGUUGAAGGUUGGGUAACACUAACUGGAGGACCGAACCGACUAAUGUUGAAAAAUUAGCGGAUGACCUGUGGCUGGGGGUGAAAGGCCAAUCAAACCGGGAGAUAGCUGGUUCUCCCCGAAAGCUAUUUAGGUAGCGCCUCGUGAAUUCAUCUCCGGGGGUAGAGCACUGUUUCGGCUAGGGGGCCAUCCCGGCUUACCAACCCGAUGCAAACUGCGAAUACCGGAGAAUGUUAUCACGGGAGACACACGGCGGGUGCUAACGUCCGUCGUGAAGAGGGAAACAACCCAGACCGCCAGCUAAGGUCCCAAAGUCAUGGUUAAGUGGGAAACGAUGUGGGAAGGCCCAGACAGCCAGGAUGUUGGCUUAGAAGCAGCCAUCAUUUAAAGAAAGCGUAAUAGCUCACUGGUCGAGUCGGCCUGCGCGGAAGAUGUAACGGGGCUAAACCAUGCACCGAAGCUGCGGCAGCGACACUCAGGUGUUGUUGGGUAGGGGAGCGUUCUGUAAGCCUGCGAAGGUGGCCUGUGAGGGUUGCUGGAGGUAUCAGAAGUGCGAAUGCUGACAUAAGUAACGAUAAAGCGGGUGAAAAGCCCGCUCGCCGGAAGACCAAGGGUUCCUGUCCAACGUUAAUCGGGGCAGGGUGAGUCGACCCCUAAGGCGAGGCCGAAAGGCGUAGUCGAUGGGAAACGGGUUAAUAUUCCCGUACUUGGUGUUACUGCGAAGGGGGGACGGAGAAGGCUAUGUUGGCCGGGCGACGGUUGUCCCGGUUUAAGCGUGUAGGUGUGUGUUCCAGGUAAAUCCGGUUCACUUUAACACUGAGGCGUGAUGACGAGGCACUACGGUGCUGAAGCAACAAAUGCCCUGCUUCCAGGAAAAGCCUCUAAGCAUCAGGUAACAUCAAAUCGUACCCCAAACCGACACAGGUGGUCAGGUAGAGAAUACCAAGGCGCUUGAGAGAACUCGGGUGAAGGAACUAGGCAAAAUGGUGCCGUAACUUCGGGAGAAGGCACGCUGACACGUAGGUGAAGUGAUUUACUCAUGGAGCUGAAGUCAGUCGAAGAUACCAGCUGGCUGCAACUGUUUAUUAAAAACACAGCACUGUGCAAACACGAAAGUGGACGUAUACGGUGUGACGCCUGCCCGGUGCCGGAAGGUUAAUUGAUGGGGUCAGCGCAAGCGAAGCUCCUGAUCGAAGCCCCGGUAAACGGCGGCCGUAACUAUAACGGUCCUAAGGUAGCGAAAUUCCUUGUCGGGUAAGUUCCGACCUGCACGAAUGGCGUAAUGAUGGCCAGGCUGUCUCCACCCGAGACUCAGUGAAAUUGAACUCGCUGUGAAGAUGCAGUGUACCCGCGGCAAGACGGAAAGACCCCGUGAACCUUUACUAUAGCUUGACACUGAACAUUGAGCCUUGAUGUGUAGGAUAGGUGGGAGGCUUUGAAGUGUGGACGCCAGUCUGCAUGGAGCCGACCUUGAAAUACCACCCUUUAAUGUUUGAUGUUCUAACGUGGACCCGUGAUCCGGGUUGCGGACAGUGUCUGGUGGGUAGUUUGACUGGGGCGGUCUCCUCCUAAAGAGUAACGGAGGAGCACGAAGGUUGGCUAAUCCUGGUCGGACAUCAGGAGGUUAGUGCAAUGGCAUAAGCCAGCUUGACUGCGAGCGUGACGGCGCGAGCAGGUGCGAAAGCAGGUCAUAGUGAUCCGGUGGUUCUGAAUGGAAGGGCCAUCGCUCAACGGAUAAAAGGUACUCCGGGGAUAACAGGCUGAUACCGCCCAAGAGUUCAUAUCGACGGCGGUGUUUGGCACCUCGAUGUCGGCUCAUCACAUCCUGGGGCUGAAGUAGGUCCCAAGGGUAUGGCUGUUCGCCAUUUAAAGUGGUACGCGAGCUGGGUUUAGAACGUCGUGAGACAGUUCGGUCCCUAUCUGCCGUGGGCGCUGGAGAACUGAGGGGGGCUGCUCCUAGUACGAGAGGACCGGAGUGGACGCAUCACUGGUGUUCGGGUUGUCAUGCCAAUGGCACUGCCCGGUAGCUAAAUGCGGAAGAGAUAAGUGCUGAAAGCAUCUAAGCACGAAACUUGCCCCGAGAUGAGUUCUCCCUGAGACUUUAGGUCUCCUGAAGGAACGUUGAAGACGACGACGUUGAUAGGCCGGGUGUGUAAGCGCAGCGAUGCGUUGAGCUAACCGGUACUAAUGAACCGUGAGGCUUAACCUUACA
This 2242-nucleotide ribosomal RNA is filed under the name Salmonella enterica subsp. enterica serovar Montevideo. RNAcentral describes it as "partial 23S ribosomal RNA". It matches the Rfam family "Bacterial large subunit ribosomal RNA", at positions 711 to 2925 of the family's 2925-position model. Lineage: Bacteria; Pseudomonadati; Pseudomonadota; Gammaproteobacteria; Enterobacterales; Enterobacteriaceae. The record is from RNAcentral.